CCUACGGGAGGCAGCAGUAGGGAAUCUUCCGCAAUGGACGAAAGUCUGACGGAGCAACGCCGCGUGAGCGAUGAAGGCCUUCGGGUCGUAAAGCUCUGUUGUCAGGGAAGAACAAGUAUCGGAGUAACUGCCGGUACCUUGACGGUACCUGACCAGAAAGCCACAGCUAACUACGUGCCAGCAGCCGCGGUAAUACGUAGGUGGCAAGCGUUGUCCGGAAUUAUUGGGCGUAAAGCGCGCGCAGGCGGUUCCUUAAGUCUGAUGUGAAAGCCCCCGGCUCAACCGGGGAGGGUCAUUGGAAACUGGGGAACUUGAGUGCAGAAGAGGAGAGCGGAAUUCCACGUGUAGCGGUGAAAUGCGUAGAGAUGUGGAGGAACACCAGUGGCGAAGGCGGCUCUCUGGUCUGUAACUGACGCUGAGGCGCGAAAGCGUGGGGAGCGAACAGGAUUAGAUACCCUGGUAGUCCACGCCGUAAACGAUGAGUGCUAAGUGUUAGAGGGUUUCCGCCCUUUAGUGCUGCAGCAAACGCAUUAAGCACUCCGCCUGGGGAGUACGGCCGCAAGGCUGAAACUCAAAGGAAUUGACGG
This 587-nucleotide ribosomal RNA is filed under the name uncultured bacterium. RNAcentral's name for it is "bacterial SSU rRNA". It matches the Rfam family "Bacterial small subunit ribosomal RNA", at positions 338 to 916 of the family's 1533-position model. The record is from RNAcentral.